This 300-nucleotide ribosomal RNA is filed under the name uncultured Methanosarcina sp. RNAcentral's name for it is "bacterial SSU rRNA". It matches the Rfam family "Bacterial small subunit ribosomal RNA", at positions 496 to 795 of the family's 1533-position model. The record is from RNAcentral. Lineage: Archaea; Methanobacteriati; Methanobacteriota; Methanomicrobia; Methanosarcinales; Methanosarcinaceae.
GCGAAUGCUGGGCCGCGGGCGGUGUGAGUACGGAGGGUGUGGGCGUUAAUCGGAAUUACUUGGCGUAAAGCGGGCGCAGGCGGGUUGGUAAGCCAGGCUUUAAAUCCCCGUGCUUAACCUGGGAACUGCGCUUGUGACUGCCAGGCUAGAGUACGGCAGAGGGGGGUGGAAUUCCACGUGUAGCAGUGAAAUGCGUAGAGAUGUGGAGGAACACCAAUGGCGAAGGCAGCCCCCUGGGUCGAUACUGACGCUCAUGCACGAAAGCGUGGGUAGCAAACAGGAUUAGAUACCCCGGUAGUC